AGGUAAAAAUCUUUUUUUUUUUGUGAUGUAAAAGAGGUAGUGAUCGUGAUCGAUGAAGGUCGAUUUCAACAGCACUCGAGGUAGAUAGCUCAAUUUUCAUUCUUACGCACAUACUAAUUAAUAAUUAUUGCUAAAUUCACUUACCUUUCCCAAUACAGAAGACCUCAUUCACGAAUACAUCAGUUGCCUCGCACUCUGGCUCUUCAAAUGGAUCAAAAUUCGACGAUAGAUCAAUCGAGUGGUGCCCAUGUUGCCGCAUCAACUACACUUUUAUGUAAAAACAAAACUAAAUCUUAUGUCUACAUUUCUAAAUUUUCAUUUUUGUUUACCUGUUUUAUACUUCUAUACCUCAUCAUAGGCCUCGAUAACCAGCCGAAUCAUUGCAUCGGAGUUUUGGCCUGUCAUGACAUCAGGGUGGAAUUGCUUCACUUUGCCACGAAAAGCGGUCUUG
This 451-nucleotide long non-coding RNA is filed under the name Zostera marina. RNAcentral's name for it is "long non-coding RNA (ZMAR_LNC000955)". Lineage: Eukaryota; Viridiplantae; Streptophyta; Magnoliopsida; Alismatales; Zosteraceae. The record is from RNAcentral.